ACCGGCGCACGGGUGCGUAACACGUAUGCAAUCUACCUACAACUAUCGGAUAGCCCUCGGAAACGGGGAUUAAUACGGUAUAACACAGGGGCACCACAUGGUGAUAUUUGUUAAAGCUUCGGCGGUUGUAGAUGAGCACGCGUCCCAUUAGUUAGAUGGCGGGGUAACGGCCCACCAUGACGAUGAUGGGUAGGGGUUCUGAGAGGAUGAUCCCCCACACUGGUACUGAGAUACGGACCAGACUCCUACGGGAGGCAGCAGUAGGGAAUAUUGGGCAAUGGAGGCAACUCUGACCCAGCCAUGCCGCGUGAACGAAGAAGGCCCUCGGGUCGUAAAGUUCUUUUAUACAGGGUGAACGUCAUCAUGCGUGAUGACCUGACAGUACUGUACGAAUAAGCACCGGCUAACUCCGUGCCAGCAGCCGCGGUAAUACGGAGGGUGCAAGCGU
Molecule: ribosomal RNA, 448 nt
Filed under: uncultured bacterium
Lineage: Bacteria
Description: bacterial SSU rRNA
Rfam family: Bacterial small subunit ribosomal RNA
Source: RNAcentral